Molecule: long non-coding RNA, 244 nt
Filed under: Helianthus annuus (common sunflower)
Lineage: Eukaryota; Viridiplantae; Streptophyta; Magnoliopsida; Asterales; Asteraceae
Description: hypothetical non coding rna
Source: RNAcentral
GCUUUUCAAAUGAAGCUCUUUAGCCAUUCCGAAGGUUAAUUGUUUUGUUUGGAGGAUUGUGAGCAGCAAGAUUUCUAUAGCGGAAGCCUUAGCUAGGAGGAGCAUUUUGAUUGGGGUAGGGAGAUGCCCGAUGGAUUCAUUUGGAGUCAACAAACCAUAUAACUAUUAUAUACAAGGGUCAGUUGAAAUUGAAUCAGUUGGAGUACUUUCAUGCAACGAAAGGUUUACAAGCUACACUUUAUAA